This 250-nucleotide long non-coding RNA is filed under the name Cicer arietinum (chickpea). RNAcentral describes it as "long non-coding RNA (CARI_LNC002268)". Lineage: Eukaryota; Viridiplantae; Streptophyta; Magnoliopsida; Fabales; Fabaceae. The record is from RNAcentral.
GGGUUCUCAUUUCCGGCGACAUUGUUCCAGCAGUUUCCGAGAAAGCUUGUUACCCGGUUGAAGCAGUUUCCGAAAAAGCUUGUUACCGGGGUGAAGAUGAAAUUAAGUCUUGUGUCGUUCUCGAAUAGAGUGGUAAUGUUAUGCAAAACCUCCAAAGUUUGGCAUAGUAUCAUUUUCCAUUGAAAAAUAACAAUGAUACCAAAAGGGGGAAACCACGUGAAAAAAGUAGUCAGAAUAAAAUGGCAAUCGG